RNAcentral lists this non-coding RNA (123 nucleotides) under Pongo abelii (Sumatran orangutan). The record is from RNAcentral. Lineage: Eukaryota; Metazoa; Chordata; Mammalia; Primates; Hominidae.
AGGUUGUGUGCUUCGUAUGAGAAUCUAAUGCCUGAUGAUCUGUCACUGUUUCACUUGGCCCCCAGAUGAGACCAUCUAGUUGCAGAAAAAUAAGCUCAGAGCUUCCAAGGAUUCUACUUUAUG